This 501-nucleotide ribosomal RNA is filed under the name uncultured bacterium. RNAcentral's name for it is "partial 16S ribosomal RNA". It matches the Rfam family "Bacterial small subunit ribosomal RNA", at positions 30 to 523 of the family's 1533-position model. The record is from RNAcentral.
AUUGAACGCUGGCGGCAGGCUUAACACAUGCAAGUCGAGCGGGGGAAGGUAGCUUGCUACCGGACCUAGCGGCGGACGGGUGAGUAAUGCUUAGGAAUCUGCCUAUUAGUGGGGGACAACAUCUCGAAAGGGAUGCUAAUACCGCAUACGUCCUACGGGAGAAAGCAGGGGAUCUUCGGACCUUGCGCUAAUAGAUGAGCCUAAGUCGGAUUAGCUAGUUGGUGGGGUAAAGGCCUACCAAGGCGACGAUCUGCAGCGGGUCUGAGAGGAUGAUCCGCCACACUGGGACUGAGACACGGCCCUGACUCCUACGGGAGGCAGCAGUGGGGAAUAUUGGACAAUGGGGGGAACCCUGAUCCAGCCAUGCCGCGUGUGUGAAGAAGGCCUUAUGGUUGUAAAGCACUUUAAGCAGGGAGGAGGCUACUCUAGUUAAUACCUAGGGAUAGUGGACGUUACUCGCAGAAUAAGCACCGGCUAACUCUGUGCCAGCCGCCGCAGUAA